GUAGGGUUUAUCUCUUUCUUCCUUUAUUUAGUAGGUUGAGAUAAGAUUUAAUUUAUCUUAAUGGCAAAAAUUGAAUUUCAUUAUGGGCUGGGAGGAUCCAAGCUUGUAGUUCAAGUCAAAUAAAAAGAGUGUUAAAAAAAGUAUCUUUGGCGUUAUAUUUUAGAUGGACAUUUACAAGAAUUUUUUACUUUUGGAGAACUUCUAUUCCGUGCUCAUAUAUCGAGAGGGUGGAGUAAGGCAGUGGCGUUAGGUUUUCCGUUCUUCCUUUCUUUAUUAUUUUCCUUUUCUUAUUUUUUUCUUCCUCCCCUCUCCAUAUAAGUGGUUUAUGGUUCUGUUUGUAUAAAAUAAAAAUGGG
RNAcentral lists this long non-coding RNA (355 nucleotides) under Olea europaea subsp. europaea. Lineage: Eukaryota; Viridiplantae; Streptophyta; Magnoliopsida; Lamiales; Oleaceae. The record is from RNAcentral.